This 10275-nucleotide long non-coding RNA is filed under the name Capsicum annuum. RNAcentral's name for it is "long non-coding RNA (CANN_LNC018861)". Lineage: Eukaryota; Viridiplantae; Streptophyta; Magnoliopsida; Solanales; Solanaceae. The record is from RNAcentral.
GUGAGUCAAGGUUGUCAAGAACUGUUUUGAAAUUAUUAAAUAUGCCCAUGUAUUUUUACUUAUAUAAAUCUCUCUUUUUCUAUGAAUUGCUCUCAUCUAUUUUGUAUAAAAACAUGUUAUUUUUGAGUUGUUUCACAUACCAGUAUAUCUGUAUUGACCCCCUAUAUUUCAGGAUCUGAGACACAAUCCCGGGUUUCAGCUAAUCAAUAGAUUGGGUUGUCCAAAGUUUGUAGUGGGUGAGCCUUCUUUAUUUCGGAACGCCUAUUUUUGAUAUUAUUAUUUCCUUUCGGAUUUUGGGUCCGACUGGGGGCCUUGUCCCAGUUUUAAUUAUGAUAAUUGGUAUUGAUGUAUUAGAGAUUUCGUAGAUAGAUGUUAAAUAAUUUGAGGGUUUAUUGAUUUCUUUCGACUGUUCAGUCGUAUGAUGUUAUUGACCAUGUUUCCGUAUGAAUCCAUUUCCUCAUUCUCUUUAUGAUUGUAUGAAUGUGUGUAUGAUUGCCUAUUAACUAAGGGGCGCUCGGGCCUUUAUGGCUUGGGAUGCUCGUCACGGCCAGGGCCUGGUUCAGGUCGUGACAGAAGUUCCUACGAUUCUUUCUUCAAAAAGAUUAUUUCAAUAGUUCUUGGUUGAUGGAUAUAUACUGUUCAAAUCUUUUCGAUUAAAUUAUAUCUGAUUUACUAAAAAAUGGUUGCGAGCUCAUAUGUAUAAAGGGUUGGAAGAUGCGUAAUUCUGGAUCGAGCUUCACAGGUGGUGCACGAUACAUGCUUCAGAAUUAUCAAGCUAUGAUAAUAUGUAAAUGGGCUGGCUACCCUGAUUUUUUAAUCACAUUUACUUGCAAUUCAAAAUGGUUUGAGAUCUGUAUAUUUCUAGAGAGUAGGGGCUUAAAACCUAAGGAUUGUCUAGAUAUUUUAUCCAAGAUUUUCAAAAUAAAAUUGGAUCGCUUAAUAAAGGACUUGCGAUACAAAUGAAUUAUUGGAAGAGUAAAAGCAGGUAUAUUUGGUUCCUCACUCAUAAUUUAUAUAUAUAUAUAUAUAUUUCAUAUAUUAAUCUAUCUUUAAAUAUUAAUUCAUCUAAUUAAUUUGUCUGAUUCAAUAAUUUAUAUAGUUGAAUUUAAAAAACAAGGAUUGCCUUAUGCUCACAUUAUACUUUUUCUUUAUGAGCAAAAUAAGCAUCCCAUUGUUGCAAAUAUUGAUAGAAUUAUUUCAGCGAAAAUACCAGAUGAAUUUGCCAAUCCUCACUAUUAUAAAGCAGUGCAGUUAUUCAUAAUGCAUGGGGCAAGUGGUUCUGCUAGAAGUUACUCUCCUUACAUGCAGAAUGAUAGAUGUACAAAGAACUUUCCAAAGAAAUCUUUCCAGUCAACCACAAUUGAUGAAGAUGGUUAUCCUAUUUACAGAAGAAGGAAAGAUGGUAGAAACAUCAAGAACAGGUAUGGGGUACUACUUAAUUGAUUGGUAGUAUUUACGUAGAGUGGUCAUAUAAUAUCUAUUCCAUUAAUUAUUUUUGAAUUAGAAUUAGAGAUACAAUAUCUUCUCAAAGAAAGAUCAUAAUUUAUUUAUUUUCUUUUUGAGUUUGACUAGAUAUGUGGUGCCACACAAUCGAUUCUUCUGUUAAACUAUGGUUCUCAUAUUAAUGUGGAGUGAUGCAAUCAAUCCAAAUCUAUUAAGUACCUAUUUUAGUACAUUAAUAAGGAAAAUGAUCGUGUUACUGCUACUUUUUCUCGAAGUGCGAAUGAGGAAGAUUCAUCAAAUGUUGAUGAAAUCAACAAGUAUUAUGAUUGUAUAUAUAUCAUCUUGUGAAGCUUCUUGGAGAAUACUUGGAUAUCCAAUUCACUAUGGCAACUUCCAGUAGAAAGACUAGUAUUUAAUCUCAAAGAUGAACAAAAUGUUAUAUUCUCUGAUGAUAAUCCAAUUGAUGAUGCUAUCAAUCGAUCGAGUGCAAGAAACUCUAUGUUCUUAAGUUGAUUUGAGGCAAAUAAAAAGUUUCUUGAAGCUAAAUAAUUAACUUAUGCAGAAUUUUCUUUUAAAAGUGGCAAGUUAUAUCAUCACAGCUUACUGUUGAAUGUAAUUAGAGGUGCAACAAGCUAUGAGGAUCUCAAAAAGAUCAACAAUCAUGAUCACACCACUUUUAGAGAUGUGUGUUAUGCACUUGGCUUAUUAGAUGAUGACAGAGUAUAUUGUGUCAAGUAAUGGACCUUGGGCCUAACUCAACCUCAAAAGCUAGCUCAAGAGGUGAGGAUUACCCAAGUCCAUAUAAGCAAACCACUAGUCCACUCCCUAAUCAAUACAGGACUUUUACCCACUCUAACACCCCCCACCCACCCACCNNNNNNNNNNNNNNNNNNNNNNNNNNNNNNCGAGAGCCCAUAAUGGGAAUGAACCUGGCUCUGAUACCAUGUCAAGAAAUAGACCUUAGACCUAACUCAACCUCAAAAGUUAGCUCAAGAGGUGGGGAUUACCCAAGUUCAUAUAAGCAAAACCAUUAGUCCAUUCCACAACCAAUGUGGGACUUUUACCCACUCUAACUUAUUGAUGCCGUAAUGAAAGCAAGUGAUUGGGGAAUGUCAUCAUAUCUUUGAUAAUUAUUUGCAAUAUUGUUAUUAUAUAAUUCAAUGUCACGAUCAAAAUAUAUUUGGCAAUUAACAUGAAAAUUAUUAUUAGAAGAUAUCCUCCAAGAAGAAAGAGUAUUGCUAUCUAAUCCAGGUAUAAAUUUAUAGUUAAGAAUAUCUAACAUUUUGUUUGGAGGUUGAUAUCAUAUUUUAUUACUAUCGUUUUGAUAGUUUUAUUCUUUCAGAGGCAUAGAUGACAGAUGAUGAAUUGAGAAAUCAUUAUUUGCAAUGGUAGGAAAAUUUUUUGGAAGUUUGGGGAACCUUUUUUUAGGAUUUUUUGACUAUACCAAGACCAGUUUACAAUGAGCAACAAGUGGACAAUAGCAGUAGAUUAAUCCUUGAUUAAUUAUGUUAUAACAGACACUCUUUGUUAGUUGAACGCCUAUAGUUAAUAGUGAAUUUGACAUCUAGACAUAAGUCGGUGUAUGUAAUGCCCCAAAUCUGAUACCCGAAACGCUACACGAUACUCAUGAUCCCAAAGGACCACAAGCUAACCCAUGACUAAUAUUUGUACCUGAACACUGUAUAAUAUACUGUAUAAAUGCAAAAAUAAAGGCUAUAAGGCCAUAAGGUUCAAAACUGAUAAAAUAAUCUCUAAAUGAUAUGGUAUCAAAACACCAAAAAGAAAAACUUGAAAUAAACUAUCUGAACAUGAUAGUCUGAAAAGCCUCUAACUGAUUGAACUGUCUAAAUAAAGAGUUGAUGGGACAUGUCCCCAACUAACUCCAACUACAGAAAUAAAUUAAUUAAUGAGAUAAUAAAGUAAUGGUCAUGUCCUUGAAGGAUGAGGACUCACUGCCAACUCUGACUGCUGAGACUGGAAUACUACUGAUACUUUGGAGCUCGUGCUUCUGAACCUAUGGUAUAAAACACCAUAGCGCAAAUGCAUCAGUACGUUUGAAUGUACUGGUAUGCAUGUGAGGUAGGCUUAAUGCAAAAGGGUUCAUAUGCAUGAACUAUACUAACUGACUGCAUAACAUGAACGUGAGAAUACAUGCAUGAAUACAUAAUAACUAUAACUGAGUUCGUGAUAACAUGAUUACUGAGUUUGAGUACUGAUAACAUGAGAUACCGAUAGUUAUAUAACUGAAAUAACUGAUGCUGAGCGACUGUAUCUAACAGUCCAGGUUCUGAUGAAACUAGCUGAGUUCCAUGUUGUUCUAAGUUGACUGUAUCUGACAGUCCUGAAUUGUAUAGAACUAUCUGAGUUCUAUUACUGAGACUGAAUGAUUGUAUCUGACAGUCUAGAUUUUGUAACUGAAACUAUGGGAAGUAGUCAUCUAACCGACAUGCCCCAAUUAAAAAUCAACUGAAACUGCGGAAAGUAGUCAUUAACCCACAUGCCCCAAUUAAAGCAAUGUAGCUGAGUUGGGGUCCAAUCUGUAACCCCAAUUAGAAGGGUGUCAAUACCUCGCCACUGAUAAGAACAAGCUGUGGGUAACCCUCAUCUGAUAGUGUCCCAAAAGAGAACGGUCGGAUCCUUACCUGACAGUGUUUAUCCACCUUAUCAACCCUCAUCUGACAGUGUUGAUGUCUCAACCUAUGCUGGAUACAUAGUUCUGGAACGCAAGAAUGACUUCUAAGAAUCACAUCCUCAUCUAACAGUGAGUGUUCCCAUCCUUGGGUUCACUCGGUGCUACUUCCUACUCCCCAUCUGAAUAGACACUGAACAUGGAUUACUAAACUGAACUAGACUGAAUUAACUGAGUUUCAUUGACUGACGGAAUACUACUGAGAUUACUGAAUUUCUAAGAUUACUGGGUUUACUGAGUUUUUCUGAGUCACAUGACUGACUGAAUUUCUAUGAACAUGGCUCGACUGUGAGUAUCUUGAAAACAUGACACUGACUCUAGGCACACAGCUAAUUUUCGGGUACAAGUACUCCCAGGACUCGAUAGCAUGAAACUGACAAAGCAUGACUUUCUUGAAUACAUGACCAACAUCAUAAUCCUUAAUACAAUAAGAUGGAGAUUUCAAGAAGUAGAAGUUCUAAAGCACCACAAGGCUACACAUGUAUCCAUAAUUCAUUGACUAAGACAUUUCAUCAAACAUUUGACAUGCAUAAACUUGUACAUGAUUGGGGAUUUCAUAUUAUCAUACUAGUAUGGCACUUUUCCUUCACAUAGGCAUUUAAUCAAACACAUGGGGAGAAUGCUUUGGUUAUACAACCAUCAACACAUCUAAUAAUCCUGGAUACAUUAAUCAACGUGUAAAUUUAAAGGUUUAUCAUGAUUAUUAUGCAAAUCACCACAUCCUAGGGUUAAUCAUUGGAAUAUGUAAUUUCAAACAUGAAUCAAAACCCCACAACAUCAUGAACAUAAAUUUCAAUUCAAUUUAAAUCAUGAACAUUCAUACAUACAAAAAUCUUGGAUUUUAAAAAGAGAUUCUUGAUUCAAAUCAUGUACAAGUUUAUGGGUGAAAGGGACCCAUGAAUAAACACAUAACAUACCUGGGUUAUAAGUUUCUUGAAGUUCUUGGACUUGAAGAACUUAAAUCUCUUAGUUUCUUAAAGAAGAUUUGGAUCUUGUUUCUUGGGAAUUAUCUUUGAGAGAAAACCUUAAUUUGAUGUUGUAGAUGGAUAAUGAACUUAUGAGCCUUGGUCUGAUAUAAUUAGGGGUUAAAACGGGUGGAAAAAGAUCCAAAUACCCUUUUAAAAAUGACUUAAAAAUAACGGAAUGAACUAUGCGACGGUUUGUCGCUAGGUCGAUGGUCCGUCGGUCCUAACCGUCGCACCUGAGCAGAAUAGGGGUUCACUGUCUAUGCUGCGAUGGCUUGGGCGACGGUCCGCCACUAGCUCGAUUGUCCGUUGGCCUGAGUCAUCGCCCUUAGGCAGAAGGUGGUCUCACUGCCUCCACUGCAAUGGCUUGGGCGACGGUCCAUCGCUAGCUCAACGGUCCGUCGGCCCUCAGCGUCGCACCUGGGCAGUUUUCACUGUUUUCUGUAAAAUGGCCAUAACUUUCUACCCCGAUACCAGUUUUUGACGAAUUUGAUAUCGUUGGAAUGCUAAUUCAAUUUUCCACAUGAAAAAAAGUGAAUCUUAAAAAUUCUACGUACAUAAAAGUGGAUUCAUCUUUCAAAGUAAGUUUCUAACAUACUUUGGAUGAUUUCAAGCUAGGUAGAAGUACGAGGUAUUACAAUAUCUCCCCCUUGAGAACACUCAUCCUCGAAUGAGACUGAGUGAGAGGGGAGAAGAUAAACUGACAUACAUACUGAACAUGAAUAACUGAAACAUGAUCUCAUGACUAACAUGACUGACAACUGAAUAUAUAUAUCAUACUGAACAUGCAUAUCUGAUGCAUGAGUAACUGAUUUAUGAAUGCAUGACUAAAUUACUGAUAAGAUGAGUUUCUCAUCAAACUGAACACGCAUAUCUGAUACAUGAUUAUAUGACUGAAUUGGUGCAUAAAUGCAUGACUGAAUAUGCAAUGGUAUUUAAUACCAAGUUUAUAAAGAAAUUCUGAACAUGAAAUGGAUACCAAGCUUGUAACUGAAAUCUGAACAUAAAACUGAAAAGCUUAAGGAGAACUGUUGCCUUGAGUUAGACCUGAGUUGGUAGAGAAGAGGUGAGGAUACUUGGUAUGCAUGUCUGCUUCUGCUUGCCAAGUAUCUCCCUCAACGGACUGAUUUCGCCAAAGAACUUUGACUAGAGAGGCUUCUUUGUUCCUCAGUCUAUGAAUCUGCUAGUCUAGAAUUUUGAUCGAAAUCUCUUCGUAAGAGAGGCUGUUCUAAAAAUUUAAGAUCUAAAUAGGGACUAUAACUGUUGGGUUACCUAUGCACUUCUUGAGCAAAGAGACAUGAAAGACUGGAUGAACUAAGGCUAGAUCUGAAGGCAAUUCGAGCUCAUAAGCUACCUUGCCAAAACAACUGAGAAUUUUGAAAGGACCAACAUAUCGGGGACUGAGCUUUCCCUUCUUGCCAAACCUCUUCACUCCCUUCCUGGGAGAGAUCUUUAAAUAGACAUAAUCACCAAUCUCAAACUCAAGAUCCUUUCUGCGCACAUCCGCAUAAGACUUCUGUCGGGUCUGAGCAGCCCGGAGUUUUUAUCUAAUCAACUGAACUUUUUCUAAGGUAUCAAAUACUAAGUCAGGCCCUAUAACUGAGGCCUAACUAACUUCGAAUAAACCAACUGGAGAUCUACAUCUCCUACCAUAAAGAGCUUUGAAUGGAACCAUCUUAAUACUAGAAUGAUAGUUGUUGUAUGCAAACUCAAUCAAAGGCAAGUGGUCAUCCCAACUACCCUUGAAAUCAAUUACACACACUCGCAGCAUAUCUUCUAAAGUUUGAAUGGUCCUUUCUACUUGACCAUCUAUCUGAGGAUGAAAGGCGGUACUGAGAUGAACUUGAUUACCAAGACCCUUUUGGAAUGUUUUCCAAAAAUGAGAGGUGAAUUGGGUACCUCUGUCUGAUAUAAUAGAUAACGGAACACCGUGCAAUCUGACCAACUCUCUGAUGUAAAGUUUGAUGUAAUCCUUGGCUGAAUAAGAGGUAUGGACUGGAAGGAAAUGAGCUGAUUUGGUCAUCCUAUAUACAAUGACCCAAACUAAAUCAUGUUGGCGACGAGUACGAGGCAACCCGUCACAAAAUCCAUGUUCACUUCUUCCCACUUCCAAGUAGGAAUACAGAACUCCUGUAUGGACCCGUUACGCUUCUGAUGCUCUAUCUUAACUUGCUGACAUGUAGAGCACUUACCCACAAACUCUGCAAUAUCUCUUUUCAUCCCACUCCACCAAUAGAUCUCCCACAAGUCGCGAUACAUCUUUAUGGACCCUGGAUGAAUAGAGUAGCACGCACCAUGCGCUUCUACAACAAUUCGUUGUCUUAAGUCAUCUACACCUGGAACACACAAACGACCCUGACAACGCAAAAUACAAUCUCCCCCUUGGGAGAAAACCUCUACUUUUUUAUCCUUGACUAACUCCUUUAACUUGACAAGGCUGGGAUCUCUAUCUUGCUUUUCUUUCACCUCAAAAACUAGAGAUGAUUUUGAGCUACUCUGAACCCAUAUAUCACCCUUUUCUGUAUCGACUAAGCGAACGCCUAGUCUGGCAAACUGAUGCACUUCUUGAGCUAACUUUUUACUACUAUCCUCAACAUGAACAACACUACUCAUAGACAGUCUAUAGACAGUCUACUGAGAGCAUCGGCCACCACAUUGGCCUUGCCCGAAUGAUUAAGGACACUCGUUUCAUAAUCUUUCAAGAGCUCUAACCACCUUCUCUCACAAAGAUCUUUUUAAGAUCUUUCUGAGAAAAGACAUACUGAAGGCUCUUAUGAUCUAUGAACAUAUCUACAUGAACACCGUACAAAUAAUGCCUCCAAAUCUUCAAGGCAAAUACUACGGCUGCUAACUCAAGAUCAUGAGUAGGAUAAUUCUUCUCAUGAGGUUUAAGCUGUCUAGAGGCGUAGGGUAUGACCUUAUCAUGCUACAUGAGGACAUAACCCAAACCUACUUUGGAUGCAUCACAAUACACUACGAACCCAUCUGAACCCUCUAGAAGAGCUAGGACUAGAACUGAGGUGAGUCGAGUCUUCAACUCCUGAAAACUCUUCUCGCAAGGAUCUGACCACUGAAACUUGACUUUUUUCUGAGUCAAUUUAGACAUAGGGGAUGCAAUAGAAGAAAAUCCCUCAACAAACCGUCUGUAAUAGCUAGUCAAACCUAAGAAACUCAUGACAUCUGAUGAAGAGACAAGUCCGGGCCAGUUUCUUACUACUUCGGUCUUUUGAGGAUCAACUCUAAUGUCAUCACCAGAAAUGAUAUAACCAAGGAAUGUUACUGACCUUAGCCAAAAUUCUCACUUACUAAAUUUGGCGAACAACUAAUGAUCUCUGAAAGUAUGAAGCACGAUUCUGAGAUGGUCUGCACGAUCAUGCUCACUGCGAGAAUAGACAAGAAUGUCAUCUAUGAAGACGGUGGCGAACAUGUCCAAGUACUGCUUGAACACACGAUUAAUCAAGUCCAUAAAAUCUGCUGGGGCAUUGGUAAGACCAAAGGACAUGACCAGAAACUCGAAGUGACCAUACCGAGUACGAAAAGCUAUUUUCAGAAUGUCACAUUCUCUGACUCUGAGCUGAUGAUAGCCUGAUUUGAGGUCUAUCUUAGAAAAAUAGCUAGCACCCUGAAGUUGAUUGAAAGAGUCAUCGAUUCUGGGAAGAGAAUGCGUGUUCUUGACCGUGACUUUAUUGAGAUGACGGUAAUCAAUGCACAUUCUAAGAGAACUGUCUUUCUUGCGCACGAAUAAGACUAGUGCACCCCAUGGGGACACACUGGGUCUAAUAAAGCUAUUAUCUAAGAGAUCCUUGAACUGCUCCUUCAAUUCUCUGAGUUUUAUUGGUGCCAUUCUGUAUGGCAGAAUAGAUAUAGGCUGAGUAUCUAGAAGAAGAUCAAUGCCGAAGUCUAUUUCCCUUUCGGGAGCAAUUCCUGUAAGAUCUUCGAGGAAGAUAUCUGAAUAUUCAUUUACGACUGAGGCUGAUUUGAGAUUGGGAGUUUCAAAACUAAUGUCCUUAACUCGAACAAGAUGAUAAACACAUUCUUUUAGAUAUCAUUUUUCAUGCCCGAAAGGAGGAAAUAAGCUGACCUCUUAAAGCUGAAGUACUACCCCUCCACUCUAGGAUAGGUUCAUUCAGAAACUGAAACUGGACUAUUCUGUUUCUGCAGUCGACUGUGGCAUAGCAGGAAAGCCAAUCCACGUCGAGAAUGACAUCAAAAUCAGUCAUCUCUAACUCGACUAAAUCUGCUGAGAUGAUUUUCUGAAAUAUCAUGACCAGGCAGUUCCUAAAUACCCACCGGGCUAUGAUGGUUUUUUCCACUGGGGUAGACACUGAGAAGGGAUCAACUGGAAUUUUGGGACUGGCUCUGAAAUCAAUUGCUAUAUAGGGAGUAACAAAAGACAAAGAAACUCCUGAAUCUAGCAAAGCAUAAACAUGCACAUGAAAGAUCUAUUACGUACCAGUAACCACAUCAAAAGAAUUUUCCUAAUCUUGACAGGACUGAAGAGCAUAAAAUCGAUUUGGGCGUUGCCCACUAGUAGCAUUGGAAGUGGCAUCCUGCUGGUUUGGGCGACCGAACUGAGCUGGCGAACGGUUCUGCUGACCCUGAUAACCUGACUGGGGACAAUCUCUGACUCUGUGUCCUGGCUUUCCACAUUCGAAAUAGACAUUACUACCAACUCUGCAAACACUCUUGUGGUUCUUAGCAUAAGUCUGACAAGGGGAAUUAGUUUGGGCAUUGCUGACACUGCCCCGAGACUUAGAGCUUGGAGCCCUAUCUCUAUUACCAUCCCUGAACUUAGGAGCUGGAGAACUGGCUGAAGAACAAAAUUGAGAAAGGUUUUCUCCUUCUGAUUUGGGCUGAGCAAAGUUGAAAUGCCCUAUCCUUACUCUUUUAUUCUGCUUCUCCCUCAUCUUAAUCUUUUGCUUCUCUAUCUGCAGAGCAUGAGUCAUAAGCCUGGCUAAAGUCAUGUCACUAUUCAACAUCGCAGACUUACACUCGUUGACCACACUAUCGUUCACCCCAAAGACAAACUUACUUAUCUUGGACCUACUGUCUGAAACCACAUGAGGGGCAUAUCUAGCUAAUUGAGUAAACUUAAGAGAAUACUCUCUCACCGUUAUGUUGCUCUGCAUGAGGUUGAUGAAUUCUAACACCUUAGCCUCUCUCAGCUCUUAGGGAAAG